AUAACAGCCCUCUUUCCUCAAGAUAGCAGCACAGCUUGUCCCAGAGAUGCCUAUGAACCCCCCGCCACGUCCACCAGUACAAUAGUGCAGCGCUCUGCCCUCAGCCAGGAGAGGAAGGUGGUGCCAGGCCCCCUGACCUGCAAUCUCAGGCCCCCAGCAGUGAGGCCCCGGGCAACCAGACUGCCAGAAGCUCCUACCAGGGACUGCAGCCCCUGCUCCUCCAGCGUCUAUUGCCAGAACCAAGGUCCCAGGGCCUUAUCAGCCCAAGAGGUGGAGNNNNNNNNNNNNNNNNNNNNNNNNNNNNNNNNNNNNNNNNNNNNNNNNNNNNNNNNNNNNNNNNNNNNNNNNNNNNNNNNNNNNNNNNNNNNNNNNNNNCUCCUACCAGGGACUGCAGCCCCUGCUCCUCCAGCUUCUAUUGCCAGAACCAAGGUCCCAGGGCCUUAUCAGCCCAAGAGGUGGAGUAUUAAUCUGGCCAUCUAUGCCCCAGCCCUGCCUCCUCAUAGCCAGCCACCCCACUCCAGAGAAGAGCUCCUGCCUUUCAUCAAACACCACUGGGAUUGUCUCAGCCCAGCCUGCCAAGUCACAGAGCCCUCAUCAACAGGAACGUCACCUGCCCCUCCUUCUUCCAUCUCUACCAUCAGGAUCCCGCCAGCAGCCUAGAAGUCCCUAGACUGGGUCUCUAGACACUCAUUUCCUUUGCAGCUUUAUUUCACUGAGCUCACACUAACCCCAUGUGUAGGAACCGAGAUAUUCCAUUUUACAGAUAGGAAAACUUGAGUUCAGAGAGGUCGAGUAAAUUUCUUAAGUCAAACAGCCAGUAAACAGCAAAUCUCUCCCUCAGGUGGUAGUCUUACAUGGCGGUGGCCUCCAGACUUGCUGGAUUGAGUGCUCCUGUCAGUGAAGAGUAGCUCUCAGCACACACCUUUAAUACUUUUAUACUUAUCCACCAAUCACACACAUGCACUACUGGAAAACAGCAUAUUAAAUAUUAGCAAAUAUCUACACCCCAAUGAGCCAACUUUUCUCAUCCCAUCAUUCAAACCUGAUCAAAUCAAACCCACUGACACUCCCUNNNNNNNNNNNNNNNNNNNNACUCCUGGGCCAGAGAGAGAAGGCAGAGGUCAGGCUGAACUCUGCCGGAAAGGUAGGCCUCAGGCAGGUGAACCGACAGGGAGAGGGCAUUCCAAACAAAUGCUUGAGCAAAACCCAGGAGGCAGAAAUGGUAGGAAAUGUUCAGGCACAGCUGAGAAGCCUGGGAACGUGAAUAGCUGUAGCUACAGACAAUGCUGUAGGCAUUGCUACGGACAGUUUUCAGGUGGGGCUCAAAAGAGUCGGCCAGACUGCCGGGCCUCGUAGGGUGAACACAGUGCAGAGCCGCAGCGGGUUAGUGAGCAGUGAUGUGACCCUCCCAGAGCCCGUGUUUUGGAAAUGUCUCCAGGUUACAGAGUGGAGUGUGAUCAUGCCCUUAGAUCUGCCUCCCUGGAGUAGUUGUAACAUGCGGCCCUUUGACAGGCUCGAGACUGAAGGCCAGUCAGGAGUGGCCACACCUCUGUACACAUGCAUGCGUGCUGCCUGCCAUUUACCAGCUGCCCUCUCUGGCCUCGGUUUUCUCAUCUAGAAAAUGAGCGUAACAAUAGCACGCAGCAUAGAUCUUGUCAUCGCUCUGACAACUGGGGAGAACUGGCUGAAGUGCCCAAUUCAGUGUCUGGCGUGUAGCAGACUUUGCUACACGGCAGCUGCCCUCACAAUUAGACCAUGCCAUUCCCUUUGCAGGCUGAUGUUUGUGGGGUUGAAAAGAGUUGAACAUAACUGAGUGACUAAAUAACAAUUCCCUUUCUUUGUCUGAAGACAUCAAACCAGCCCCUCAAAAAUCUAGUUCAGACUUCCCCUUUGAGGACCCCAAUAGAUUUAUCACUCCCUGCCUUGGGCUCACCUAGCUCUGGCUCAUACUGGUAAUGUAGCAUUAGCACAUCACGCUAGCCGCCCUCACAUCUCUAGCCGCCCUCACAUCUCUGGCCGCCCUCCCCCUCAUCUUUGCGUUCCUGUCCCAGACAUUUAACGGGCCUGGGUCAAUUUUUGUGACUUGGCUCAAAUGCAUACAAAGUGAAAUAACAUCAGAAAAAGAGGAGGAAGAGAAGGAGGAAGAGGAAGUAGCAUAUUUAGGGGCACUUGGCUAAGUUCUUCAUAUACAGUCUCUCAUCUACCCUGUAAGAUAGGCAGAUCAGGCAGGGUGGGCUAGUUUAUGCUGCAGUAACAAACAUCCCAACAUUUCAGUGAUUUAAAGAUUCAUCUCAAGGGCUUNNNNNNNNGUGGCUCAGUGGUAAAGAAUCUGCCUGCCAAUACAGGAGACACAGGUUCAGUCCCUGAUCCGGGAAGAUCCCACGUGCCACGGAGCAACUUAGCCCCUGGGCCGCAACUCCUGGGCCUGUGCUCUAGAGCCCAGGAACCGCAAGCACGCGUGCCACGACUAUGAAGCCCACGCGCUCUAGAACAUGUGCUCUGCAACAAGAGAAGUCAUCGCAAUGAGAAGCCCAUAGGCUGCAAUCAGAGCAGCUGCCCCUGAUCAUAGCUAGAGAAAAGCCGGUGCAGCAGCAAAGAUCCAGCACAGCCAAACAUAAGUUUAAAAAAUAAAAUUGUAAAAAAGAUUCACUUCUUCAUGUCAAAGGAGCAUUGUAGGUCACCAGGAGGGUUCUGAGCUACGCUGUCCUCAGUCAGGGACCCAGGCCCAAGGAAGCUUCCAUCAACAUCACUGGUCACAGUCACCAUGACAGCCAGAAGGGGAUUUGAGGAUUCAUACCUUAGUUCUUGUUGCUGUCUGGAUGUGGCAUGUAUCAAUCACAUAUCAUUGUCCAGAGCAGGUCACUCAGCCACACUCACUUCAAGGGGGUGGUGAAGUUCCAUCCUGCCAGGCCUGUGUUCCUAACUCUGUCAUGAAAGCCACACAAGGUGGCUCAGGUCCAUUCCCAGUUGUGCUAACAGCCACUCCCAACUGGGCCACCCAAAUCCCCCUUGGCAGAGAAUCUACCUCUCCCUCAUCUAAAGGUACUCAUCUCUCCUCCCCU
Molecule: long non-coding RNA, 3062 nt
Filed under: Capra hircus (goat)
Lineage: Eukaryota; Metazoa; Chordata; Mammalia; Artiodactyla; Bovidae
Description: lncRNA (ENSCHIG00010004653.1)
Source: RNAcentral